Molecule: long non-coding RNA, 713 nt
Organism: Gossypium raimondii (Peruvian cotton)
Lineage: Eukaryota; Viridiplantae; Streptophyta; Magnoliopsida; Malvales; Malvaceae
Exons: 2
Source: RefSeq, a predicted model, not a curated record
AAAAAAAAAUGGUUCUUCGUGAAGUGUGUCCCUUGUUUGCAGGGUAUACUCAAUACCAUUUACAUCAACUUUCUUCACCUUUUUCUUACAUUUUCCAAACCAGUCCACUUAUCUUUUGGUGCUUUUUGGACCCAUUUAUUUGCAUUUUGUUCUUACACUUGAAGAGCUGAUUCUAAAGAUGAGCCAUUACUUGUUGGCACCACCACCAAUGCUCAUUCACCAGUUUCCAAUGAGAAGAUACCUAUGGACAAGCAGCAGCAGCCACAACGUUUGAGGGGUUCAUUUGGUGUGUUCUUUUCAAGCAAGAGGAAGGUUCCAAAUGCUGCUGAUCCACUUCACAAUCGUUGAAAGCCAUGGGAGGAACAUGAAUUUUAAAGCUUUCAUAAUGUUGGGUUUUGUUUGAUCUUUUCUGGGGUUAUUAUGAAUUGCAUUUUGCAUCCAUGUUUUUCAAAAAUUUUGUUGGAUUUUCAUGACUAUCAUCUUUGUAUUUGUCUAUACUGCAAUAUAUGUGUACUGUAAAUGAAGAAACUUUUGGCUUUUUUAUUCAACUUUUAAUUUUUUGUAGUACCUCAUAAUAUCAAAAGCUUGAGAGGUCACUUUUAGUAGGGUUCAGAGAUUUGGUAGUACCAGAGAAUAAUCUUUAUAAUCUCUUGUGCCACCAUUAAAAGAAUUUGUUGGUAUCUGUUUGUUUUAUUAUAUCUACUAUUUGUUCU